Molecule: ribosomal RNA, 217 nt
Filed under: uncultured bacterium
Lineage: Bacteria
Description: partial 16S ribosomal RNA
Rfam family: Bacterial small subunit ribosomal RNA
Source: RNAcentral
CGUAAAGCGUGCGUAGGUGGUUUGUUAAGUCUGAUGUGAAAUCCCCGGGCUCAACCUGGGAAUUGCAUUGGAGACUGCAAGGCUAGAAUCUGGCAGAGGGGGGUAGAAUUCCACGUGUAGCAGUGAAAUGCGUAGAGAUGUGGAGGAACACCGAUGGCGAAGGCAGCCCCCUGGGCCGAUACUGACGCUCAGGCACGAAAGCGUGGGGAGCAAACAG